Long non-coding RNA from Phacochoerus africanus (Common warthog), 1048 nucleotides. RefSeq lists it as uncharacterized. The transcript has 2 exons. NCBI's taxonomy places the organism in Eukaryota, Metazoa, Chordata, Mammalia, Artiodactyla, Suidae. The record is from RefSeq and is a predicted model, not a curated record.
AGCCAGAUUCAUUUCUGCUGCGCCACAACAGGAAUUCCAACAGUAUCUUAACAAAUGUUUUACUUCCAACUUUCCCUCCAGAGCAUUCUGCAGAAGGGUCUAAUUACUCUUCCUCAGAUGUGGCUCUGAUUAUAUUGUCCUCUUACCCAUAGUUUGGAACCUCAUUUGGCAGUAGGGCACGAGAAUUUUCUGAAAGGGCCCUUUCAACAUAAAACUACUAGAUCCUGGAUAAAAGUUCAUUUUAACAACUUGUUACACCUUACACUUAGAUUAAGUCUUGGACAUAGUACCCUAAUAGCCCUACCACAUAAACUAAAACCAAACAGAGAGCAAUAAGCAGUAUACAAGCACAGAAGACAUGUCUCCUCAGCAUUACAAUAUUUCAGAAGAUUAAACUUCAGGUCAAGGGCAGGUAGGAGUUAAGGCAGAUUUUUUAAAAAGCCAAAUUCAACUCUUUGCUAUUUAUAUAAGACACAGUGAACAAGAAUAUGAAAAUCAGAAAAAGGAUAAGAAAUGUAUACUAGGGAAAUACUAACGAAAAGGUCAGGCAGGUAUGUAAGAUUGGACAGAUUAGACUUUAAGACAAAGCACCACUGGGAAAUUAGCUUAGCAUUGCAGUAAAGUAUGGAAGGGGACUCCCAUUGCUGGAGUUUGAAUCCUAGUUCUACCACUUACUGGCUAUGCGAGCUUCGGCAAGUAACCUAGCCUCUGUGUCUCUACCUCUUUUCUAUAAAAUCUGUAUUGCAAUAGUCUCUACAACUGAUGAGAAGACUGAACGAGUUAAUAUGCAGGAAAUCUAUCAACUGUGACCCACAGUAAGAGCUACGGCUCAGGCUUCAGAAUCUUAGCAGCUGGAGUCUAAAAAAGCCUGAGAAAUCUGGAGAAAACACAAAACAAACCUGUUUCCACUCUCAUGAAAGAAAUGACUUCAGAAUCAACUCUGCACACUUGUUUUACUUAUAAAGCUGAUAAGAACAGAAGACACAAUACCUUUUGGAGUUCUUCAAUUCUGACUUCAUACGUUGCUAAAAUAAACAUGAAAAAAUUA